AACGCGAAGAACCUUACCUGGGCUCGAAAUGCUAUGGACCAGCUGGUGAAAGCCGGCCUUCCCGCAAGGGACUGUAGUAUAGGUGCUGCAUGGCUGUCGUCAGCUCGUGUCGUGAGAUGUUGGGUUAAGUCCCGCAACGAGCGCAACCCUUGUCCUGUGUUGCCAUCAUUCAGUUGGGAACUCGCAGGAGACCGCCAGGGAUAACCUGGAGGAAGGUGGGGAUGACGUCAAGUCCUCAUGGCCUUUAUGUCCAGGGCUACACACGUGCUACAAUGGACGGUACAAAGGGCUGCCAACCCGCAAGGGGGAGCCAAUCCCAAAAAACCGUUCUCAGUUCGGAUUGCAGGCUGCAACUCGCCUGCAUGAAGCUGGAAUCGCUAGUAAUGGUGGAUCAGAACGCCACCGUGAAUACGUUCCCGGGCCUUGUACACACCGAGACGAC
RNAcentral lists this ribosomal RNA (442 nucleotides) under uncultured bacterium. Its description in RNAcentral is "bacterial SSU rRNA". It matches the Rfam family "Bacterial small subunit ribosomal RNA", at positions 958 to 1398 of the family's 1533-position model. The record is from RNAcentral.